AACGAACGCUGGCGGCAUGCCUAACACAUGCAAGUCGAACGAAGGCUUCGGCCUUAGUGGCGCACGGGUGCGUAACGCGUGGGAAUCUGCCCUUGGGUUCGGAAUAACUCAGAGAAAUUUGAGCUAAUACCGGAUGAUGACGUAAGUCCAAAGAUCUAUCGCCCAAGGAUGAGCCCGCGUAAGAUUAGCUAGUUGGUGGGGUAAAGGCCUACCAAGGCGACGAUCUUUAGCUGGUCUGAGAGGAUGAUCAGCCACACUGGGACUGAGACACGGCCCAGACUCCUACGGGAGGCAGCAGUGGGGAAUAUUGGACAAUGGGCGAAAGCCUGAUCCAGCAAUGCCGCGUGAGUGAUGAAGGCCUUAGGGUUGUAAAGCUCUUUCAGUGGGGAAGAUAAUGACUGUACCCACAGAAGAAGCCCCGGCUAACUCCGUG
Molecule: ribosomal RNA, 433 nt
Filed under: uncultured bacterium
Lineage: Bacteria
Description: bacterial SSU rRNA
Rfam family: Bacterial small subunit ribosomal RNA
Source: RNAcentral